Molecule: long non-coding RNA, 235 nt
Filed under: Homo sapiens (human)
Lineage: Eukaryota; Metazoa; Chordata; Mammalia; Primates; Hominidae
Description: HSALNT0065331
Source: RNAcentral
AAAGUUUUAAUAAGAGAGUUCUGCCCUGCUUUACUCACCUGCCCGCCCAGUCCUUCUACCAUCUGUGCUUUUUAUUUCCUUAUAUAGACCCAAGGACGGGUGUGCCCAAGAGCACAGAAGGUGCCAGGAAGGGACAAUGUUAAAGAGGUUUACAUGCCAAAUGACUGGAUCAAAAAGGGAGGAAAGGCCAUCACAGCACACCAUUAGCACAGGCUGCAUUUCUGGGGAAAAAGGU